GAUGAACGCUGGCGGCGUGCCUAAUACAUGCAAGUCGAGCGAACAGACGAGGAGCUUGCUCCUCUGACGUUAGCGGCGGACGGGUGAGUAUCACGUGGAUAACCUGCCUAUAAGACUGGGAUAACUUCGGGAAACCGGAGCUAAUACCGGAUAAUAUAUUGAACCGCAUGGUUCAAUAGUGAAAGACGGUUUUGCUGUCACUUAUAGAUGGAUCCGCGCCGCAUUAGCUAGUUGGUAAGGUAACGGCUUACCAAGGCAACGAUGCGUAGCCGACCUGAGAGGGUGAUCGGCCACACUGGAACUGAGACACGGUCCAGACUCCUACGGGAGGCAGCAGUAGGGAAUCUUCCGCAAUGGGCGAAAGCCUGACGGAGCAACGCCGCGUGGGUGAUGAAGGUCUUCGGAUCGUAAAACUCUGUUAUUAGGGAAGAACAAAUGUGUAAGUAACUAUGCACGUCUUGACGGUACCUAAUCAGAAAGCCACGGCUAACUACGUG
This 497-nucleotide ribosomal RNA is filed under the name uncultured bacterium. RNAcentral describes it as "partial 16S ribosomal RNA". It matches the Rfam family "Bacterial small subunit ribosomal RNA", at positions 28 to 507 of the family's 1533-position model. The record is from RNAcentral.